CAUGGACAAUGCCUUGCAACGGAAGGGCUCUGUACUCAUUGCUCUUCAUCCCACUGCUGUGUGCUAUUGUCUUUGUGAUCUUCAUGAUUGGAUUUUGCUUCUUCAAGGAAGAUAUAAAAGAGCCCAAGUAAUUCUGGAAACCAGCAUUUUACCCUUGACCUCCUGCUUUUCAUCCUACUGGUCCUCGCCAGAAGUCGCUGGUUGCCUGGUAUAAGAAAACAAUCAUAAUUAUCUCAUUAAUACUUGGACCUGGCCUCCCUGCUAAUCAGGUUUGUACUGCUGAGAUUUCAAAGGAGAACAGAAAUCUACUAAGAAGAAAUAAAUUGGUUCUCAGGCUAUAAAUAGUUCUAGGAAGCUGCCCAGGGACAAAAAUUUGCCUGCUGGUGAAAUAAAAGACCAUGUAAACUGUAGAUUUAUUUGGAGAGUAUAGUUCCAUGAAUUUAACUGGUCUAGACUCUGGGCCUCUGGAAGGCAGAGACCAUGCUCUCAGCCUUGCCUUUAGUACCUUGUCUGUAACAGGCUAUCAGAUAUGUUGAUUGUGUCAAAGAUAAGCAAAUUCUGAAAUGAGUAAUUUUUUUCAUUCUCUAUCCUCUCUGAAUUCACUUAGUGCCUCUCAGAAUGUGUCUGAGUGGAAAGGGAUUUGCACAGGAUAUGUCCAAACAGGUUAUUGUAACUUUGGAGGUAAACUCUUGUCUAUCAUUCCAUGCACUUCAUUAUUAUUUAUAUCCAUUUCUUUCUUUCUUUCUUUGUUUAUUUAUUUAAGUAAUUGGUCAUGAAAUAGACUUGCAUGCUGAAUACUGAAAUGUGGUGUUUGACACUUGUAAAUUAUUCCAGAUUAUAUAUGAGACUAUAAUAGAUAAAAGUGAUUUAGAUAAUAAAGUGAUCUGUAAUUGAAGUAAAUGAGAGCUGGGUGCUGUGGCUAAUGCCUUGUACUCCCAGCACUUUGGAAGGCUGAGGCAGUAGGAUCGCUUGGGUCCAGGAGUUUGAGACUAGCGUGGCAACAUAGCUAGACCCUGUCUCUACAAAAAGUAAAAAAUUAACCAAGUGUGGUGAUGCGCACCUGUAGUCUCAGCUACACAGGAGGCUGAGGUGGGAGGAUCACUUGAGCUCCAGAUGUUGAGGCUGAAGUGAGCCAUAAUCAUCCUACUGCACUCCAGCCUGGGUGACAGAGGAAGACCAUGUCUCAAAAAAAAAAAAAAAAAAAAGAGAAGUAAAUGAAAACUUAGAGAAAUAGUAGUUGCAACUUCCAAACCAAAGCUUGUAAUUCUGGUCACUAUGACUUGGAAAUAUUUUCCAGAACAACUGUGACUCUUGCCGUUGCUCUAUAAAAUACUGGCAAGGUCCAAAAGGGAAUUUUCCCCCACUGUGUAUAAUAUUAUUAGACAGAUGGUAUUGUAUAGAUGUUCAUAAUGAUAAUUUUUUAAAAUUAGCACAGCAAAUAUUAACUGAACAUGAUCUUCAUGUCCUGUUCCACACAGGUUGUAUUUGUUGAUGUGGACUCUGAUAAAACUGAAAGUUCUUUACUAAUGAAUGCAAAACCAUCUCAUUGCUUACAUUCUUUCUAGAAUUUGCAUAUGCAAAGAUACAAAUUCCAGAAAUAGCACUCAAGAGAACAGUCUGUAGAAAUCUUGUCUAACAACUCUAAAUUUUCAAUCAGCAUUGAAUCAGAAUUAUAGCCAUAGUUCUCUGAAUUAUUCAUGAUAAAUAGAUGACUGGCUACCCAUGGGACUCUGAUACAGCGCUUUCAAUGUGGUAAAAUAAUUAGAAUUGUCAUAUCCACUCUUUGUAAAAUUAUGAGAACUGUUAUUUAUUAAUAGCAAAUGUCAUAACAUAAUCCAACUGUUAUUUUCC
Molecule: long non-coding RNA, 1851 nt
Filed under: Homo sapiens (human)
Lineage: Eukaryota; Metazoa; Chordata; Mammalia; Primates; Hominidae
Description: HSALNT0086963
Source: RNAcentral